This 460-nucleotide ribosomal RNA is filed under the name uncultured bacterium. RNAcentral's name for it is "partial 16S ribosomal RNA". It matches the Rfam family "Bacterial small subunit ribosomal RNA", at positions 338 to 795 of the family's 1533-position model. The record is from RNAcentral.
CCUACGGGUGGCAGCAGUGAGGAAUAUUGGUCAAUGGGCGCGAGCCUGAACCAGCCAAGUAGCGUGAAGGAAGACUGCCCAACGGGUGGUAAACUUCUUUUAUAAAGGAAUAAAGUGAGGCACGGGUGCCUUGUUGUAUGUACUUUAUGAAUAAGGAUCGGCUAACUCCGUGCCAGCAGCCGCGGUAAUACGGAGGAUCCGAGGGUUAUCCGGAUUUAUUGGGUUUAAAGGGAGCGUAGAUGGGUUGUUAAGUCAGUUGUGAAAGAUUGCGGCUCAACCGUAAAAUUGCAAUUGAGACUGGCAGCCUUGAGUACAGUUGAGGUAGGCGGAAUUCGUGGUGUAGCGGUGAAAUGCUUAGAUAUCACGAAGAACUCCGAUUGCGAAGGCAGCUUACUAAACUGCCACUGACAUUGAUGCUCGAAAGUGUGGGUAUCAAACAGGAUUAGAUACCCGGGUAGUC